Small nuclear RNA from Erinaceus europaeus (western European hedgehog), 165 nucleotides. Its record names the gene U1. It matches the Rfam family "U1 spliceosomal RNA". Rfam says of the family: U1 is a small nuclear RNA (snRNA) component of the spliceosome (involved in pre-mRNA splicing). The record is from Ensembl. Lineage: Eukaryota; Metazoa; Chordata; Mammalia; Eulipotyphla; Erinaceidae.
AAACUUACCUGGCAUGGGAAGAUGCCAUGAUCACAAAGGAUAUUUUCCCAGAGGAAGGUUUAUCAAUUGCACUCUGGAUGUGCUGACACUUUCAGUUUCCCCAAAUGUAAGAAAUUUCAUGGCAUAAUUUGUGGUAGUGGGGGACUGUGUUCAUGCUUUCCUCUG